Molecule: ribosomal RNA, 215 nt
Filed under: uncultured bacterium
Lineage: Bacteria
Description: partial 16S ribosomal RNA
Rfam family: Bacterial small subunit ribosomal RNA
Source: RNAcentral
AUCCCAGUUCGGAUUGCAGGCUGCAACCGCCUGUAUGAAGUUGGAAUCGCUAGUAAUCGCGGAUCAGCAUGCCGCGGUGAAUACGUUCCCGGGCCUUGUACACACCGCCCGUCACACCAUGAGAGUCGGGAACACCCGAAGUCCGUAGCCUAACCGCAAGGGGGGCGCGGCCGAAGGUGGGUUCGAUAAUUGGGGUGAAGUCGUAACAAGGUAAC